RNAcentral lists this ribosomal RNA (467 nucleotides) under uncultured bacterium. RNAcentral describes it as "partial 16S ribosomal RNA". It matches the Rfam family "Bacterial small subunit ribosomal RNA", at positions 28 to 506 of the family's 1533-position model. The record is from RNAcentral.
GACGAACGCUGGCGGCGUGCUUAACACAUGCAAGUCGAACGGAAAGGCCCUGCUUUUGUGGGGUGCUCGAGUGGCGAACGGGUGAGUAACACGUGAGUAACCUGCCCUUGACUUUGGGAUAACUUCAGGAAACUGGGGCUAAUACCGGAUAGGAGCUCCUGCUGCAUGGUGGGGGUUGGAAAGUUUCGGCGGUUGGGGAUGGACUCGCGGCUUAUUAGCUUGUUGGUGGGGUAGUGGCUUACCAAGGCUUUGACGGGUAGCCGGCCUGAGAGGGUGACCGGCCACAUUGGGACUGGGAUACGGCCCAGACGCAUACGGGAGGCAGCAGUGGGGAAUAUUGCACAAUGGGCGGAAGCCUGAUGCAGCAACGCCGCGUGCGGGAUGACGGCCUUCGGGUUGUAAACCGCUUUCGCCUGUGACGAAGCGUGAGUGACGGGAAUGGGGAAAGAAGCACCGGCUAACUACGU